RNAcentral lists this long non-coding RNA (434 nucleotides) under Phasianus colchicus (ring-necked pheasant). Its description in RNAcentral is "lncRNA (ENSPCLG00000017194.1)". The record is from RNAcentral. Lineage: Eukaryota; Metazoa; Chordata; Aves; Galliformes; Phasianidae.
GGUUUGGGGGUAAUGGGGGCAAUGAAGGGGUUGGGGGUAAUGGGGGUAACAGGGGGAAAUGGGGGGGUUGGGAGGAUUGGGGACAUUGGGGACAUUGGGGGCAAUGGGGACAUUGGGGGUAAUGGGGGCAAUGGGAGGAUUGCAGGAAUUGGGGAGAAUGGGGGCAAUGGAGGUAAUGGCAGCACUGGGGGCAAUGGGUUCAAAGGGGAUAUUGGGGGCAAUGGGGGCAUUGGGGACAAUGGGGGAAUUGGACGCAGUGGGGGCAAUGGGGGCAUUGGGGGGAUUGGGGGCAAUGGGGGCAAUGGGGGCAGUGGGGACAUUGGUGGCAUUGAGGUGACAUCUGGUGACAGGGAGGGGACAUUUGGUGACAGGGGGAUAUCUGGUGCCAGGGGGGGCAUUUGGUGACACAGGGGACAGGAGGUGACAUGGGGGAG